AGAGUUUGAUCCUGGCUCAGGAUGAACGCUAGCUACAGGCUUAACACAUGCAAGUCGAGGGGCAGCAUGGUCUUAGCUUGCUAAGGCCGAUGGCGACCGGCGCACGGGUGAGUAACGCGUAUCCAACCUGCCUUACACUCUUGGACAGCCUUCUGAAAGGGAGAUUAAUACAAGAUGUUAUCAUGAGUAAGCAUUUUCGCAUGAUUAAAGGUUUACCGGUGUAAGAUGGGGAUGCGUUCCAUUAGAUAGUAGGCGGGGUAACGGCCCACCUAGUCUUCGAUGGAUAGGGGUUCUGAGAGGAAGGUCCCCCACAUUGGAACUGAGACACGGUCCAAACUCCUACGGGAGGCAGCAGUGAGGAAUAUUGGUCAAUGGACGAGAGUCUGAACCAGCCAAGUAGCGUGAAGGAUGAAGGUUCUAUGGAUUGUAAACUUCUUUUAUACGGGAAUAAACGAAUCCACGUGUGGAUUUUUGCAUGUACCGUAUGAAUAAGGAUCGGCUAACUCCGUGCCAGCAGCCGCGGUAAUACGGAGGAUCCGAGCGUUAUCCGGAUUUAUUGGGUUUAAAGGGAGCGUAGAUGGGUUGUUAAGUCAGUUGUGAAAGUUUGCGGCUCAACCGUAAAAUUGCAAUUGAUACUGGCAGUCUUGAGUACAGUUGAGGUAGGCGGAAUUCGUGGUGUAGCGGUGAAAUGCUUAGAUAUCACGAAGAACUCCGAUUGCGAAGGCAGCUUACUAACCUGUAACUGACAUUGAUGCUCGAAAGUGUGGGUAUCAAACAGGAUUAGAUACCCUGGUAGUCCACACGGUAAACGAUGAAUACUCGCUGUAGGCGAUAUACAGUCUGCGGCCAAGCGAAAGCAUUAAGUAUUCCACCUGGGGAGUACGCCGGCAACGGUGAAACUCAAAGGAAUUGACGGGGGCCCGCACAAGCGGAGGAACAUGUGGUUUAAUUCGAUGAUACGCGAGGAACCUUACCCGGGCUUAAAUUGCAACCGAAUAUGGCGGAAACGCUAUAGCUAGCAAUAGCGGUUGUGAAGGUGCUGCAUGGUUGUCGUCAGCUCGUGCCGUGAGGUGUCGGCUUAAGUGCCAUAACGAGCGCAACCCUUGCCGAUAGUUACUAACAGGUUAUGCUGAGGACUCUGUCGGGACUGCCAUCGUAAGAUGUGAGGAAGGUGGGGAUGACGUCAAAUCAGCACGGCCCUUACGUCCGGGGCUACACACGUGUUACAAUGGGGGGUACAGAGGGCUGCUACCACGCAAGUGGAUGCCAAUCCCAAAAACCUCUCUCAGUUCGGAUUGAAGUCUGCAACCCGACUUCAUGAAGCUGGAUUCGCUAGUAAUCGCGCAUCAGCCACGGCGCGGUGAAUACGUUCCCGGGCCUUGUACACACCGCCCGUCAAGCCAUGGGAGCCGGGGGUACCUGAAGUGCGUAACCGCAAGGAGCGCCCUAGGGUAAAACUGGUGACUGGGGCUAAGUCGUAACAAGGUAGCCGUACCGGAAGGUGCGGCUG
RNAcentral lists this ribosomal RNA (1510 nucleotides) under Phocaeicola massiliensis. Its description in RNAcentral is "bacterial SSU rRNA". It matches the Rfam family "Bacterial small subunit ribosomal RNA". The record is from RNAcentral. Lineage: Bacteria; Pseudomonadati; Bacteroidota; Bacteroidia; Bacteroidales; Bacteroidaceae. RNAcentral also lists the same sequence under 1 other name.